UUCGACGAGGAGUAUGAAUGUUUAAAUUAAAAAAAAAAACAUUGAACUGAACAAUUGUAACAAGGUACAGAGAAUAAACGGUGAAUGAUGUCGUACUCGAGUCUCAGUGGCAACUAAACUACCGAAUCUUCUUAUUCUUCAACGCUCGUGUUCAUUUUAUUAGAUAUCUCGUGAACUUUACUUCUUCUUAGUUUAAGAUACAAUAUCAAGGGUGCACUUAUUAUUAUUAGAUUUAUCAAAAAGAAGAAAUUAGAAAAAUUUUUACGGCAGAACAAUGGAGUUUACUGAUGAAGGAUACACACGUAAUUUCAAUGAGUAUUAUCUACGCGAUCAAUGAUUUGAGAAGAAAAAUUGGAUGAUAAUUUUUUAGAGUGAAAAUUAAAUAUUUAUUGAAUAAUUUUUGAAGAGGAUUUAAUUACCUGA
Long non-coding RNA from Cotesia glomerata, 423 nucleotides. RefSeq lists it as uncharacterized. The transcript has 4 exons. The record is from RefSeq and is a predicted model, not a curated record. NCBI's taxonomy places the organism in Eukaryota, Metazoa, Arthropoda, Insecta, Hymenoptera, Braconidae.